CGAUCGUGCAUACAAAACCCA
RNAcentral lists this non-coding RNA (21 nucleotides) under Arabidopsis thaliana (thale cress). The record is from RNAcentral. Lineage: Eukaryota; Viridiplantae; Streptophyta; Magnoliopsida; Brassicales; Brassicaceae.